GCCCCUGUCGUAUAAUGGACAGUACGCAAGGUUGCGGACCUUGAGAUCGGAGUUCGAUUCUUCGCAGGGGCG
Molecule: transfer RNA, 72 nt
Filed under: Candidatus Woesearchaeota archaeon
Lineage: Archaea; Nanobdellati; Candidatus Woesearchaeota
Description: tRNA-Arg
Rfam family: tRNA
About the family: Transfer RNA (tRNA) molecules are approximately 80 nucleotides in length. Their secondary structure includes four short double-helical elements and three loops (D, anti-codon, and T loops).
Source: RNAcentral